RNAcentral lists this ribosomal RNA (756 nucleotides) under uncultured bacterium. RNAcentral describes it as "bacterial SSU rRNA". It matches the Rfam family "Bacterial small subunit ribosomal RNA", at positions 1 to 804 of the family's 1533-position model. The record is from RNAcentral.
CCUUAGAGUUUGAUCCUGGCUCAGAGCGAUCGCUGGCGGCAGGCUUAACACAUGCAAGUCGAGCGGGCGUAGCAAUACGUCAGCGGCAGACGGGUGAGUAACGCGUGGGAACGUACCUUUUGGUUCGGAACAACACAGGGAAACUUGUGCUAAUACCGGAUAAGCCCUUACGGGGAAAGAUUUAUCGCCGAAAGAUCGGCCCGCGUCUGAUUAGCUAGUCGGUGAGGUAACGGCUCACCAAGGCGACGAUCAGUAGCUGGUCUGAGAGGAUGAUCAGCCACAUUGGGACUGAGACACGGCCCAAACUCCUACGGGAGGCAGCAGUGGGGAAUAUUGGACAAUGGGGGCAACCCUGAUCCAGCCAUGCCGCGUGAGUGAUGAAGGCCCUAGGGUUGUAGAGCUCUUUUGUGCGGGAAGAUAAUGACGGUACCGCAAGAAUAAGCCCCGGCUAACUUCGUGCCAGCAGCCGCGGUAAUACGAAGGGGGCUAGCGUUGCUCGGAAUCACUGGGCGUAAAGGGUGCGUAGGCGGAUCUUUAAGUCAGAGGUGAAAGCCUGGAGCUCAACUCCAGAACUGCCUUUGAUACUGGGGAUCUUGAGUUCGGGAGAGGUGAGUGGAACUGCGAGUGUAGAGGUGAAAUUCGUAGAUAUUCGCAAGAACACCAGUGGCGAAGGCGGCUCACUGGCCCGAUACUGACGCUGAGGCACGAAAGCGUGGGGAGCAAACAGGAUUAGAUACCCUGGUAGUCCACGCCGUA